This 75-nucleotide transfer RNA is filed under the name Archaeoglobus sp. Its description in RNAcentral is "tRNA-Glu". It matches the Rfam family "tRNA". Rfam says of the family: Transfer RNA (tRNA) molecules are approximately 80 nucleotides in length. Their secondary structure includes four short double-helical elements and three loops (D, anti-codon, and T loops). The record is from RNAcentral. RNAcentral also lists the same sequence under 6 other names. Lineage: Archaea; Methanobacteriati; Methanobacteriota; Archaeoglobi; Archaeoglobales; Archaeoglobaceae.
GCUCCGGUGGUGUAGCCCGGUCAAACAUAGGGGACUCUCGAUCCCCUGCCCCGGGUUCAAAUCCCGGCCGGAGCA